CUCUCUCUCUCUCUCUCUCUCUCUCUCUCUCGUCCAUGUAUGGCUUCAGUUAGAGAGGGGCAUGUCUCUCUCUCUCUCCCUCUCUCUCUCUCUCUCUCGUCCAUGUAUGGCUUCAGUUAGAGAGGGGCAUGUCCUCUCUCUUUCUGUGUGUUGUCGUCCAUGUAUGGCGAGGGGCAUGUCUCUCUCUCUCUCUCUCUCUCUCUCUCUCUCUCUCUCGUCCAUGUAUGGCUUCAGUUAGAGAGGGGCAUGUCCUCUCUCUUUCUGUGUGUUGUCGUCCAUGUAUGGCGAGGGGCAUGUCUCUCUCUCGCUCUCUCUCUCUCUCUCUCUCUCUCUCGUCAUGUAUGGCUUCAGUUAGAGAGGGGGCAUGUCUCCUCUCUCUCUCUCUCUUCUCUCUCUCUCUCCUCUUCUCUCUCUUCUCUCCUCGUCCAGUAUGGCUUCAGUUAGAGAGGGGCAUGUCCUCUCCAAACUUCAUACAGUGGGCAGCGUUCUUGGCUUCAACACCAUCUGGACAACAACAGGUAGAAGGGCAGGAGAGAAAUAAAAGGAGAGAAAGAAGAGAUUUAAGCACAUGGGGAACAUCAUAAAGAAAAUACCUUUUCACACAGCAUUAUUCCUAGCCUCAGACUACUACUGGCCCUGUGCUAUCUUCACACAAGCAGAGUACGGUCUUCACACAAGCAGAGUAUUCUGAAACCAACGGUCAACUUUAUGGGAAAAUUCUAAUUAGGUAACAAAGUAACUGAUUGGUUAGCCCUGAAAAGUUGGUGCUAACCCUGCUCCAGAGCAUAGCCAGCUAGCCCUGUGCUAAGGUUGGUGCUAACCCUGCUCUAGAGCACAGCCAGCUAGCCCUGGGCUAAGGUUGGUG
Molecule: long non-coding RNA, 865 nt
Filed under: Oncorhynchus kisutch (coho salmon)
Lineage: Eukaryota; Metazoa; Chordata; Actinopteri; Salmoniformes; Salmonidae
Description: lncRNA (ENSOKIG00005005259.1)
Source: RNAcentral